CAAAGAAUAGUCUAAUUUAGGAUUUUAGCUUUGGGAGCUGAAGGUAGGAGUUAAAAUCUCUUUUCUUUGA
This 70-nucleotide transfer RNA is filed under the name Parapercis sexfasciata (grubfish). RNAcentral describes it as "tRNA-Pro". It matches the Rfam family "tRNA". From Rfam's summary of the family: Transfer RNA (tRNA) molecules are approximately 80 nucleotides in length. Their secondary structure includes four short double-helical elements and three loops (D, anti-codon, and T loops). The record is from RNAcentral. Lineage: Eukaryota; Metazoa; Chordata; Actinopteri; Uranoscopiformes; Pinguipedidae.